CCUAUCAUGCAAGUCGAGCGAACAGACGAGGAGCUUGCUCCUUUGACGUUAGCGGCGGACGGGUGAGUAACACGUAGGUAACCUACCUAUAAGACUGGGAUAACUUCGGGAAACCGGAGCUAAUACCGGAUAAUAUUUCGAACCGCAUGGUUCGAUAGUGAAAGAUGGCUUUGCUAUCACUUAUAGAUGGACCUGCGCCGUAUUAGCUAGUUGGUAAGGUAACGGCUUACCAAGGCAACGAUACGUAGCCGACCUGAGAGGGUGAUCGGCCACACUGGAACUGAGACACGGUCCAGACUCCUACGGGAGGCAGCAGUAGGGAAUCUUCCGCAAUGGGCGAAAGCCUGACGGAGCAACGCCGCGUGAGUGAUGAAGGUCUUCGGAUCGUAAAACUCUGUUAUUAGGGAAGAACAAACGUGUAAGUAACUGUGCACGUCUUGACGGUACCUAAUCAGAAAGCCACGGCUAACUACGUGCCAGCAGCCGCGGUAAUACGUAGGUGGCAAGCGUUAUCCGGAAUUAUUGGGCGUAAAGCGCGCGUAGGCGGUUUUUUAAGUCUGAUGUGAAAGCCCACGGCUCAACCGUGGAGGGUCAUUGGAAACUGGAAAACUUGAGUGCAGAAGAGGAAAGUGGAAUUCCAUGUGUAGCGGUGAAAUGCGCAGAGAUAUGGAGGAACACCAGUGGCGAAGGCGACUUUCUGGUCUGUAACUGACGCUGAUGUGCGAAAGCGUGGGGAUCAAACAGGAUUAGAUACCCUGGUAGUCCACGCCGUAAACGAUGAGUGCUAAGUGUUAGGGGGUUUCCGCCCCUUAGUGCUGCAGCUAACGCAU
RNAcentral lists this ribosomal RNA (830 nucleotides) under Staphylococcus sp. a10. RNAcentral describes it as "bacterial SSU rRNA". It matches the Rfam family "Bacterial small subunit ribosomal RNA", at positions 47 to 860 of the family's 1533-position model. The record is from RNAcentral. Lineage: Bacteria; Bacillati; Bacillota; Bacilli; Caryophanales; Staphylococcaceae.